GACGAACGCUGGCUGCGCGCUUAACACAUGCAAGUCGAACGGAAAGGCCUGCUUUCCCUUGUGGAUUGCGGGUACUCGAGUGGCGAACGGGUGAGUAACACGUGAGUGAUCUGCCCCCAACUUGGGUAUAAGCCUGGGAAACUGGGUCUAAUUCCCGAUAGGACUGCAGGGUGGUGCCUGUGGUGGAAAACGAUUUUCUAGUGGUUGGGGAUGAGCUCGCGGCCUAUCAGCUUGUUGGUGGGGUAAUGGCCUACCAAGGCGGCGACGGGUAGCCGGCCCGAGAGGGUGGACGGCCACAUUGGGACUGAGAUACGGCCCAGACUCCUACGGGAGGCAGCAGUGGGGAAUAUUGCACAAUGGGCGGAAGCCUGAUGCAGCGACGCCGCGUGGGGGAUGACGGCCUUCGGGUUGUAAACUCCUUUCGACCGCGAGGAAGCCACCUGGUUGGAAGGGUGGUGACGGUAGUGGUAGAAGAAGCACCGGCUAACUACGUG
This 494-nucleotide ribosomal RNA is filed under the name uncultured bacterium. RNAcentral describes it as "partial 16S ribosomal RNA". It matches the Rfam family "Bacterial small subunit ribosomal RNA", at positions 28 to 507 of the family's 1533-position model. The record is from RNAcentral.